UACGAAGGGGGCUAGCGUUGCUCGGAAUCACUGGGCGUAAAGCGCACGCAAGCGGCUUCUUAAGUCAGGGGGGAAAUCCUGGGGCUCAACCCCAGAACUGCCCUUGAUACUGAGGAGCUUGAGUCCGGGAGAGGUGAGUGGAACUCCGAGUGUAGAGGUGAAAUUCGUAGAUAUUCGGAAGAACACCAGUGGCGAAGGCGGCUCACUGGCCCGGUACUGACGCUGAGGUGCGAAAGCGUGGAGAGCAAACAGG
This 253-nucleotide ribosomal RNA is filed under the name uncultured bacterium. RNAcentral describes it as "partial 16S ribosomal RNA". It matches the Rfam family "Bacterial small subunit ribosomal RNA", at positions 524 to 776 of the family's 1533-position model. The record is from RNAcentral.